Molecule: long non-coding RNA, 2382 nt
Organism: Macadamia integrifolia
Lineage: Eukaryota; Viridiplantae; Streptophyta; Magnoliopsida; Proteales; Proteaceae
Exons: 2
Source: RefSeq, a predicted model, not a curated record
AUCUCUAACUUGAGCGUCGGAGGACUAACCCCGGACAAAGCUCCGGGCCUCUACCGUCUGUGCUUGUGCAGGAUCAGCUCAUAUGGAUUUUCGGCAGCAACACCACGUCACUUUGAAAUGUUUAGCAUUUAUCUAUAAUGAUCCCGCAAAUUACGCUCUUUUAUAUGUGACAACAGUUGCUUCAUUUUCACAACCCUUUGUCUGGCUUCCUAAUGAAAGCUUCACUUGUUGAAUUUUGAGGGGGUGACUGCUAGAUUUUAUCAAAUGCUAAAAUUCUGGAUGAUGCUGGGACAAUUCCUUGGACUAGCCCAAACCCAUUGGGGAACCCAGAUUGAGAUGGACUGGGUCCAAUAAAUUUUGAGUCCAUAGGAUAUUUUAGAUUAUUUAUUUAGAUUUUUUCUUAAUUGGAUUUAUCUUACAAGUCCAAGUAAGAGUCGAGUUUAAUUUCAGUUUUAGGUUACAAUCAGGGGUCUUUUAUUUUCCUCUUUAAACAGUAGCUUGUAACCAAUGUAAGAUUUAGAUUUGAGAAUGGAUUUAUUUGAGAUGUUUAUGGUGCCAGAUUGGUAUAAAGCAUUGCAUGAUAGGUUAUGAGAGGUUGUGUGGCUUUUCCUUUCCCUAUUCUAACCUCCUUCGAUUUCUUCUUCUCUAUUUCCUGUCCUCCUUGAGCUCUUCCUAAUCUCAGGUCCAUCCUGUCCAUCCAACUGGCCCGAGAAAUGAGAUCUGAUGCAUACUUCACCAGCGAUUGGUGCUCGUAGAGCUCUUGAGUACCACAGCUUUCUCGUGUAGCAUGGAGGAUCGAGAUCGCUUGGCAUGCGUUAUCAACCUUCCUGCUGCUCUCGAAAUGCCAUAGUGAGUCUGCCCUAGGGCACUAGAGAUCGUGGGGAGUCUCCUUCAAUUUCUUUUUCUCUAUUUCCUGUCCUUGAGUUCUUCCUUAAUCUCUGAUCCGUCCCCUGUUUCUCUAUUACAAUGUUGGUUACUGAGUUCCUCUUCCGUGGGUGGUACCAUCAGGUUCAAGAGGAAGCUUAGCAGAAUUGUGGUUCCUAGUCGAUGGGCCCUGAGAUUUGGAUAUAAGGUAGCCUACCCUUGGGUGAUUUAAACCCUUGGUAUCCUAACACCUCCCCCACCUCCCUUUCUCCCGUGGUGAUUUGCAGACCAGCAACUACAGCUGGUUGUUACCUUGCCUCUGGAUCUGAUUUCAGAGAUUCAAUUCCCUCUCUUCACUUCUUGUUUCAGGAGUUCCUUGGUUUCAUUUGAUAGAUCGUUGGAGAGUCUUCCUCAUAAAUCCUGGUUUGAUUUGAGGUCCGGUUGAAGAGUUCCGACACAAGAAUCAAUGACUCCUUUUACCGUCGGUUUUGGUUUUGUAUUUGGCCGAGAAUUCGUAAGGUUGGAGAAGAGUCAAAGACACUCUUCUCCCCAUGAUUCCUUUUAUUGCUUUAAUUUUUUCCACUUCCCUUAACUACCCAUCACUUUCCUUUACUUCCAAUACCUAUCUUAUCCUCUUUUCUUUAAUUUCCCAAGUAACCCUUGAAAAAAUUCUGGUUAUUUACAAUUGUGCCAUUCUGUUGUGGAUAUGAGCUAUGUGGUGAUUGGGUUGGCCCCUUAGCAAUCCGAGUUGGGUUUUGAAACCCCAAUUUUUUAUUUUAUUUAUUUUUUAUUUUUUUCUGGUAAAACAUAAAUUCAUUCAACUAAAAUAAUGGGUAUAUAAGGUUUGGAUACAGGCUAGUCAAAACCCGAGUAAAAAAAGACGGCUAAAAGAAUCUGCGGUAUGGAAGAUGUUGCCUUGUAACUGUUUAUUGCAUAUACUAGGAACUACUCUGUUGAUUUGAAAAGAAAUGACAGAAAAAUGGUUGGCCAUUGCUGAUACUGGUACGGAAAAAAAAACAAUAAAAAAACCUAUGCUGAUGAUCCAUGAUCAUGCUGCAUAGUAUCUUUUGCCGCAUAUGAACUGAGCAUGGAUUUCUUAUAAUGAUACUAAUAGUAACAUUUGUUCAAUAUGUUUAUUUUUUUAUCCUAGAUGUUAUGCACGCUUGCAUCCCCGGGCUGUUAACUGCAGGAAAAAGAAAUGUGGGCACAGCAACCAGUUGAGGCCCAAAAAGAAGAUCAAGUAGAUGUAAUGGUGAAGCUUUCGGUAGGAAUGAUGUCUCAGUGAACAUAUUUUAGUGGUUAUAUUAGGAGAAACCCUGCUUGCAAGGGAAGUUUAUCAUGACCUCAAGUCAUCAAUUUUGUCAACUUUGUAUUACCCGCUUGUCAUGCUUUGACCAUGCCGGGCUGCUGUUCUAGCAAUCUCAACUCCUAAAGGAUAAGCGUGCAUAACGAGCACUCCAUGCAUAGAAUGUCUUGCUAUGCUUCUAUUUACAUCUUAAUUGAGUGCUUGUUUCCCUA